This 523-nucleotide ribosomal RNA is filed under the name Conocephalinae sp. BAHAR102-14. RNAcentral's name for it is "partial 16S ribosomal RNA". It matches the Rfam family "Bacterial large subunit ribosomal RNA", at positions 1831 to 2613 of the family's 2925-position model. Lineage: Eukaryota; Metazoa; Arthropoda; Insecta; Orthoptera; Tettigoniidae. The record is from RNAcentral.
GUCUUUUUGAAGGUAUUUAAAGUCGGGCCUGCCCACUGAAAUAUUUGAAGGGCCGCGGUAUUCUGACCGUGCAAAGGUAGCAUAAUCAUUAGUCUUUUAAUUGAAGGCUGGUAUGAAUGGUUUGACGAAGUAUAGACUGUCUCUGUAUAAAAAUAUAAAAUUUAACUUUUGAGUCAAAAGGCUUAAAUUUAAAUAGAGGACGAGAAGACCCUAUAGAGUUUUAUAUAAUUUGCAAUCAAAUUUUAAUAGUUGUAGCAAUUUCUAAUUGUAAAUUAUAUUUGGUUGGGGUGACCUAAAGAUAAAACGAACUCUUUGUUUAAUAAACAUUAAUUUAUGAUUUUAUGAUCCACUUAGUAGUGAUUAAAAGAUAAAAUUACCUUAGGGAUAACAGCGUAAUUUUUUUUGAGAGUUCAUAUCGACAAAAAAGUUUGCGACCUCGAUGUUGGACUAAGAAAAUGAUUUGAUGUAGCAGUUAAAUUAAUAAGUCUGUUCGACUUUUAAAUUCUUACGUGAUCUGAGUUCA